This 69-nucleotide transfer RNA is filed under the name Mitsukurina owstoni (goblin shark). RNAcentral describes it as "tRNA-His". It matches the Rfam family "tRNA". Rfam says of the family: Transfer RNA (tRNA) molecules are approximately 80 nucleotides in length. The record is from RNAcentral. Lineage: Eukaryota; Metazoa; Chordata; Chondrichthyes; Lamniformes; Mitsukurinidae.
GUAUUUAUAGUUUAACCAAAACAUUAGAUUGUGGUUCUAAAAAUAAGAGUUAAAACCUUUUUAACUACC